AACGCUGGCGGCAGGCCUAACACAUGCAAGUCGAACGAGAAGCCGCCCUUCGGGGCGGUGGAAAGUGGCGCACGGGUGAGUAACGCGUGGGAACCUACCCUGAGGUACGGAAUAACGGCUGGAAACGGCUGCUAAUACCGUAUGUGCCCUACGGGGGAAAGAUUUAUCGCCUUGGGACGGGCCCGCGUCGGAUUAGCUUGUUGGUGGGGUAACGGCCUACCAAGGCUCCGAUCCGUAGCUGGUCUGAGAGGAUGAUCAGCCACACUGGAACUGAGAAAGGUCCAGUCCCCUACGGGGGCCAGCAGUCUAGAAAUUUGCGCAAUGGGCGAAAGCCUGACGCAGCGACGCCACGUGGAGGAUGAAGCCCUUAGGGGUGUAAACUCCUGUCAGAAGGGAAGAAUGCAGGAAAUAACUUUUCCUGUUUGACGGUACCUUCAGAGGAAGCCCCGGCUAACUUCGUGCCAGCAGCCGCGGUAAUACGAAGGGGGCAAGCGUUGUUCGGAUUUACUGGGCGUAAAGGGCGUGCAGGCGGACCGAUAAGUCGUCUGUGAAAUCUGUCG
This 560-nucleotide ribosomal RNA is filed under the name uncultured sponge symbiont JAWS22. RNAcentral's name for it is "bacterial SSU rRNA". It matches the Rfam family "Bacterial small subunit ribosomal RNA", at positions 32 to 606 of the family's 1533-position model. The record is from RNAcentral.